AUUGAAUUCUUGUAAAAUUCUAGUCUCCAAAGAAGGGGAGAGUGAAUAUCUGAAAGUAGAUAUCCAGUGGAAAUAGUAAACUUCUAUCCCAUUACACAGCACAGCAAAGCAAACAUGGUUUUUGCUGAACUAGGCAUUAUUGAUCAAACCUCAACUAACAAACUUCAAUCUGUUUUCUUGCAUUAUCAUUAUCCUAUAACCAAAACAUAUCAGAACCAAGGCUCCUACUCUUACAAAAAUUGAAGUCAUUAAGCCAUUUAAAACCCAAAUAUCAAGUAAAAGCAUAUAAACAAUAUAUAAGGUGAAAGAGUACCUG
Molecule: unclassified non-coding RNA, 316 nt
Filed under: Hevea brasiliensis (rubber tree)
Lineage: Eukaryota; Viridiplantae; Streptophyta; Magnoliopsida; Malpighiales; Euphorbiaceae
Source: RNAcentral